UUGACCUCGGAUCAGGUAGGGAUACCCGCUGAACUUAAGCAUAUCAAUAAGCGGAGGAAAAGAAACCAACAGGGAUUGCCUUAGUAACGGCGAGUGAAGCGGCAAUAGCUCAAAUUUGAAAGCUGGCGUCUUCGACGUCCGCGUUGUAAUUUGUAGAGGAUGCUUCGGCGAAGACUCCUGCCUAAGUCCCCUGGAACGGGGCGUCAUAGAGGGUGAGAAUCCCGUAUGUGGCGGGCAGUCUAAGCCAUGUGAAGCUCCUUCGACGAGUCGAGUUGUUUGGGAAUGCAGCUCUAAAUGGGAGGUAAAUUUCUUCUAAAGCUAAAUAUUGGCCAGAGACCGAUAGCGCACAAGUAGAGUGAUCGAAAGAUGAAAAGCACUUUGGAAAGAGAGUUAAAAAGUACGUGAAAUUGUUGAAAGGGAAGCGCUUGCAACCAGACUCGCUCGUAGUUGCUCAGCCGGCCUCUUGGCCGGUGCACUCUUCUACGAUCGGGCCAGCAUCAGUUCGGGCGGCAGGAUAAAGGUGUCGGGAAUGUAGCACCCUUCGGGGUGUGUUAUAGCCCGGCGCGGAAUGCUGCCAGCCUGGACUGAGGAUCUCGCUUCGGCAAGGAUGCUGGCGUAAUGGUUGUAAGCGGCCCGUCU
RNAcentral lists this ribosomal RNA (639 nucleotides) under Phyllosticta capitalensis. Its description in RNAcentral is "eukaryotic LSU rRNA". It matches the Rfam family "Eukaryotic large subunit ribosomal RNA", at positions 1 to 654 of the family's 3401-position model. RNAcentral also lists the same sequence under 7 other names. The record is from RNAcentral. Lineage: Eukaryota; Fungi; Ascomycota; Dothideomycetes; Botryosphaeriales; Phyllostictaceae.